Molecule: ribosomal RNA, 253 nt
Filed under: uncultured bacterium
Lineage: Bacteria
Description: partial 16S ribosomal RNA
Rfam family: Bacterial small subunit ribosomal RNA
Source: RNAcentral
GACAGAGGGUGCAAACGUUGUUCGGAAUCACUGGGCGUAAAGCGCGUGUAGGCUGCCCUGCAAGUCGGAUGUGAAAGCCCUCGGCUCACCCGAGGAAGAGCACCCGAAACUGCAGGGCUGGAGUCUCGGAGAGGAAGGUGGAAUGCUUGGUGUAGAGGUGAAAUUCGUAGAUAUCAAGCGGAACACCGGUGGCGAAGGCGGCCUUCUGGACGAUGACUGACGCUGAGACGCGAAAGCGUGGGGAGCAAACAGG